UGAGCAAUCUGCCCUGGACUCUGGGAUAAGCGUUGGAAACGACGUCUAAUACCGGAUACGAGACGCGAAGGCAUCUUCAGCGUCUGGAAAGAACUUCGGUCCAAGAUGAGCUCGCGGCCUAUCAGGUAGUUGGUGAGGUAACGGCCCACCAAGCCUACGACGGGUAGCCGGCUGAGAGGGUGACCGGCCACACUGGGACUGAGACACGGCCCAGACUCCUACGGGNGCAGCAG
RNAcentral lists this ribosomal RNA (233 nucleotides) under uncultured bacterium. RNAcentral's name for it is "partial 16S ribosomal RNA". It matches the Rfam family "Bacterial small subunit ribosomal RNA", at positions 118 to 354 of the family's 1533-position model. The record is from RNAcentral.